This 253-nucleotide ribosomal RNA is filed under the name uncultured bacterium. RNAcentral describes it as "partial 16S ribosomal RNA". It matches the Rfam family "Bacterial small subunit ribosomal RNA", at positions 524 to 776 of the family's 1533-position model. The record is from RNAcentral.
UACGUAGGGGGCAAGCGUUGUCCGGAUUUAUUGGGCGUAAAGAGCGUGUAGGCGGCCUGACAGGUCUGCUGUGAAAACUCGAGGCUCAACCUCGAGAUGUCGGCGGAAACCGUCUGGCUAGAGUCCGGAAGAGGAGAGUGGAAUUCCUGGUGUAGCGGUGAAAUGCGUAGAGAUCGGGUGGAACACCAGCGGCGAAGGCGGCAUCCUGGCCCUGUACUGACGCUGAGGCGCGAUAGCGUGGGGAGCAAACGGG